AAAGAAGUAAAAAAUUACAUUUAGUUUCGACCUAAAAUUAGGAAUUAAUAAACCCAUGUUUU
Molecule: transfer RNA, 62 nt
Filed under: Thampoa tiani
Lineage: Eukaryota; Metazoa; Arthropoda; Insecta; Hemiptera; Cicadellidae
Description: tRNA-Arg
Source: RNAcentral